CACGUAGUUAGCCGGGGCUUCUUAAUCAGGUACCGUCUGGCGACCCAAAGGUCGCUAUUUCUUCCCUGCUGAUAGAGCUUUACAUAACGAAUUACUUCUUCACUCACGCGGCGUCGCUGCAUCAGAGUUCCCUCCAUUGUGCAAUAUUCCCCACUGCUGCCUCCCGUAGGAGUCUGGGCCGUGUCUCAGUCCCAAUGUGGCCGUCCACCCUCUCAGGCCGGCUACUGAUCGUUGCCUUGGUGUGCUUUUACCACUCCAACUAGCUAAUCAGACGCGGGUCCAUCUCAUACCAGAUUUCUCCUUUUCACACAAAAACAUGCGUCCUCGUGCGCUUAUGCGGUUUUACCACCAGUUUCCCGAUGCUAUCCCCCUGUAUGAGGCAGGUUGCCACGCGUUACUCACCCGUCCGCCACUAAGAUACUUCUCUUUCACCUUCGAAAAGCUUCCAAGCAAUAUCUCCGUUCGACUUGCAUGUGUUAGGCACGCCGCCAGCGUUCGUCCG
RNAcentral lists this ribosomal RNA (502 nucleotides) under uncultured Lachnospiraceae bacterium. RNAcentral describes it as "partial 16S ribosomal RNA". The record is from RNAcentral. Lineage: Bacteria; Bacillati; Bacillota; Clostridia; Lachnospirales; Lachnospiraceae.